GGAUAUUGAGAAAGUACGCCACCUCCACCAUUCAAUCCAGAUGUUGGGGAUCCUUUGAGGUAUGAACUAUUGGAGAAAGCAGCUUGGCGGUUAGAAUUAUUAAGGUCCGAGCCAACAGAAUAUAUUGGAGAAAGCAGCUUGGGGGUUAGAACUAUUAAGGUCUGAGCUGACAGAAUAUGGUACUUUUGCAGACUGAGCAGUAGAAGCCCUAUUGAACUGUGGGGAUUCAGAUUGCUUCAAGAAUUCAUGCUGCUUUGUGUUAUUCUGCCCAC
Molecule: long non-coding RNA, 272 nt
Filed under: Nicotiana benthamiana
Lineage: Eukaryota; Viridiplantae; Streptophyta; Magnoliopsida; Solanales; Solanaceae
Description: long non-coding RNA (NBEN_LNC037748)
Source: RNAcentral